AUUGAACGCUGGCGGCAUGCCUUACACAUGCAAGUCGAACGGCAGCACGGGUGCUUGCACCUGGUGGCGAGUGGCGAACGGGUGAGUAAUACAUCGGAACGUACCUUAUCGUGGGGGAUAACGCAGCGAGAGCUGUGCUAAUACCGCAUACGCCCUGAGGGGGAAAGCGGGGGAUCGCAAGACCUCGCGCGAUUAGAGCGGCCGAUGCCUGAUUAGCUAGUUGGUGGGGUAAAAGCCCACCAAGGCGACGAUCAGUAGCUGGUCUGAGAGGACGAUCAGCCACACUGGGACUGAGACACGGCCCAGACUCCUACGGGAGGCAGCAGUGGGGAAUUUUGGACAAUGGGGGCAACCCUGAUCCAGCAAUGCCGCGUGAGUGAAGAAGGCCUUCGGGUUGUAAGGCUCUUUUGUCAGGGAAGAAACACCGGCUCUAACACAGUCCGGGAAUGACGGUACCUGAAGAAUAAGCACCGGCUAACUACGUGCCAGCAGCCGCCGUAA
RNAcentral lists this ribosomal RNA (501 nucleotides) under uncultured bacterium. Its description in RNAcentral is "partial 16S ribosomal RNA". It matches the Rfam family "Bacterial small subunit ribosomal RNA", at positions 29 to 523 of the family's 1533-position model. The record is from RNAcentral.